RNAcentral lists this transfer RNA (130 nucleotides) under Didymella pomorum. Its description in RNAcentral is "tRNA-Glu". The record is from RNAcentral. Lineage: Eukaryota; Fungi; Ascomycota; Dothideomycetes; Pleosporales; Didymellaceae.
UCCGUUAUGGUCUAGGUAAGCUCAAUCACCUCCUUCAUCGAUGACUCCAACUAACAAAAAAAAGUGGCUAGGAUACAUCGCUCUCAUAGCAAGCGCCGAUGUGGCCGGGGUUCGAUUCCCCGUGACGGAA